This 722-nucleotide ribosomal RNA is filed under the name uncultured bacterium. Its description in RNAcentral is "bacterial SSU rRNA". It matches the Rfam family "Bacterial small subunit ribosomal RNA", at positions 70 to 824 of the family's 1533-position model. The record is from RNAcentral.
GAGAGAGAGCUUGCUUUCUCGAGCGAGUGGCGAACGGGUGAGUAACGCGUGAGGACCUGCCUCAAAGAGGGGGACAACAGUUGGAAACGACUGCUAAUACCGCAUAAGCCGGCAUCGGAAAAGGAGCAAUCCGCUUUGAGAUGGCCUCGCGUCCGAUUAGCUAGUUGGUGAGGUAACGGCCCACCAAGGCGACGAUCGGUAGCCGGACUGAGAGGUUGAACGGCCACAUUGGGACUGAGACACGGCCCAGACUCCUACGGGAGGCAGCAGUGGGGAAUAUUGCACAAUGGGGGAAACCCUGAUGCAGCGACGCCGCGUGGAGGAAGAAGGUCUUCGGAUUGUAAACUCCUGUUGUUGAGGAAGAUAAUGACGGUACUCAACAAGGAAGUGACGGCUAACUACGUGCCAGCAGCCGCGGUAAAACGUAGGUCACAAGCGUUGUCCGGAAUUACUGGGUGUAAAGGGAGCGCAGGCGGGAAGGCAAGUUGGAAGUGAAAUCUAUGGGCUCAACCCAUGAACUGCUUUCAAAACUGUUUUUCUUGAGUAGUGCAGAGGUAGGCGGAAUUCCCGGUGUAGCGGUGGAAUGCGUAGAUAUCGGGAGGAACACCAGUGGCGAAGGCGGCCUACUGGGCACCAACUGACGCUGAGGCUCGAAAGUGUGGGUAGCAAACAGGAUUAGAUACCCUGGUAGUCCACACUGUAAACGAUGAUUACUAGGUGUU